CCAGAAUCUUCGGCAAGAACCUCACGUAAUCGCCGACUUUGAGGAUCGGGGUAUAUGUAAGGAAAUUUCAAAGACCCCAAAGCUUCAAACACCUCUGGAGGUGGUCCAUAAGGGUUCUCAUUUGCAUCUAAUUUAACAAUAUCCUCAGGCUUCCUGCCAAGAUUAGCCGACAAAACCUCAAAAGGUAAAAUAGGUUGAUAAGGGGACAAUUUUCUCAAAUGUGAACGGAUAAACGAGUCGCCAGUCAACUUCUGUUGAGCAGGUAGAGUGGAGGCCAUGGCAAUGACCUUUCUUUCAUUAUUCACUUCGAAAGAGAAAUUGGGUCUUCGAGGCACCAAAAAUUGGUGAAGAAUGUUGUUGGAUUUAAUCAAACAGAUAGAGGCAGUGCUGUAGAUAUCAAUCACACCCAUGAAUAUCCGGAAGUGAGAAGAAAAGAUUGAAUCUUUUUGAGAAGUGAGAAAUGCGUGAUUAUGGAGGAAGAAGCCAAGAUGGG
This 493-nucleotide unclassified non-coding RNA is filed under the name Hevea brasiliensis (rubber tree). Lineage: Eukaryota; Viridiplantae; Streptophyta; Magnoliopsida; Malpighiales; Euphorbiaceae. The record is from RNAcentral.